AAGUCGUAACAAGGUUUUGUAGAGCAUAAAUGAUCCUUCUAUGGGUGCAUUUACCGAAACCUUAGUGGACCAGAAAAAAAUGGUUGGCCAAACGACAGUAAAUAAAUUGGCCCCUUAGUUAUACUUGUUACAGAACUUAACUGGGGCACUGGUCCUCUUUGAAAGGGCAACACCUUGAGUCUGCAGGGUCAUUCCUACCAGGAACCACCUGCAGCCCGACAACUAACUUCGUUGUCGGGCUCACAGACUAAAUAAUGGUGGGCGCUGGUGACAUCUCACGGCGUUUCAGAUAUAGUCGUAUCUUAACUUACACAAUUGUUGAGUACGUGCACAUUUUUAACUGUGGAAAAAUCUUGUUCCGUAGGUGAACCUGCGGAAGGAUCAUUA
RNAcentral lists this ribosomal RNA (387 nucleotides) under Pyrenula massariospora. RNAcentral describes it as "partial small subunit ribosomal RNA". Lineage: Eukaryota; Fungi; Ascomycota; Eurotiomycetes; Pyrenulales; Pyrenulaceae. The record is from RNAcentral.